RNAcentral lists this long non-coding RNA (218 nucleotides) under Elaeis guineensis (African oil palm). Its description in RNAcentral is "long non-coding RNA (EGUI_LNC012330)". Lineage: Eukaryota; Viridiplantae; Streptophyta; Magnoliopsida; Arecales; Arecaceae. The record is from RNAcentral.
GAUAUGGGACUUGCAUGCGAAAACUAGAAGUUUGAGAGCUUGUUGAAUGAGCUGAAAUUCUAUAAAUCAAAGACAUAUUUUUUGGCACACUAAACUUUUAUGUAAUUUUUAUCAUUGAUCUAAGUACCAUGCAUGGGAAAGCUCUUCAAAAGAUCGGCAUAUUACUCCUGGCUUCUAUAUUUCUGUACUGCUACAUUCUCGACAUAUUCUGUUGGGCA